GACGGACGCUGGCGGCGUGCUUAACACAUGCAAGUCGAGCGGUAAGGCCCUUUCGGGGGUACACGAGCGGCGAACGGGUGAGUAACACGUGGGUGACCUGCCCUCAGCUCUGGGAUAAGCCUGGGAAACCGGGUCUAAUACUGGAUAUGACUCCAUGACGCAUGUUGUGGGGUGGAAAGCCUUGUGCGGCUGAGGAUGGGCCCGCGGCCUAUCAGCUUGUUGGUGGGGUGANGGCCUACCAAGGCGACGACGGGUAGCCGGCCUGAGAGGGCGACCGGCCACACUGGGACUGAGACACGGCCCAGACUCCUACGGGAGGCAGCAGUGGGGAAUCUUGCGCAAUGGGCGAAAGCCUGACGCAGCGACGCCGCGUGAGGGAUGACGGCCUGGUGUAACUAC
RNAcentral lists this ribosomal RNA (399 nucleotides) under uncultured bacterium. RNAcentral describes it as "bacterial SSU rRNA". It matches the Rfam family "Bacterial small subunit ribosomal RNA", at positions 28 to 433 of the family's 1533-position model. The record is from RNAcentral.